This 276-nucleotide long non-coding RNA is filed under the name Malus domestica (apple). RNAcentral's name for it is "long non-coding RNA (MDOM_LNC002762)". The record is from RNAcentral. Lineage: Eukaryota; Viridiplantae; Streptophyta; Magnoliopsida; Rosales; Rosaceae.
CACCCUGCCGUAGAGUCUAUAAGUCUAUCAAUGAGAGGAAGGGGGAAACUAUCCUUUGGGCAUCCUUUGUUUAGGUCGGUGUAGUCGACACACAUUCUCCACAAGACCUUUUGAAGCAAGAGACUUUCCUUGGUCGGAUUUUUCUUAACAAGGACAACAUUUGCUACCCAUGUUGGGUAAUUGACUUCACGGACGAAGCCUAUGUCCUUAAGUUUUUCAACUUCUGCUUUCAUCGCCUCGUAUCGUUCAACAUCAUAAGAUCUUCGCUUCUGUUUU